RNAcentral lists this ribosomal RNA (298 nucleotides) under uncultured Hyphomicrobiales bacterium. Its description in RNAcentral is "uncultured Rhizobiales bacterium partial 16S ribosomal RNA". It matches the Rfam family "Bacterial small subunit ribosomal RNA", at positions 31 to 355 of the family's 1533-position model. Lineage: Bacteria; Pseudomonadati; Pseudomonadota; Alphaproteobacteria; Hyphomicrobiales. The record is from RNAcentral.
GAACGCUGGCUUCAGGCCUAAGAGGAGAAAGUCGAGCGGCCGUAGCAAUACGGCAGCGGCAGACGGGUUGACAACACGUGGGAACGUACCCUUUGGUUCGGAACAACCCAGGGAAACUUGGGCUAAUACCGGAUAAGUCCGUAAGGAGAAAGAUUUAUCGCCGAAGGAUCGGCCCGCGUCUGAUUAGCUUGUUGGUGAGGUAACGGCUCACCAAGGCGACGAUCAGUAGCUGGUCUGAGAGGAUGAUCAGCCUCACUGGGACUGAGACACGGCCCAGACUCCUACGGGAGGCAGCAGU